GACGAACGCUGGCGGCGUGCUUAACACAUGCAAGUCGAACGGAAAGGCCCUGCUUUUGUGGGGUGCCCGAGUGGCGAACGGGUGAGUAACACGUGAGUAACCUGCCCUUGACUUUGGGAUAACUUCAGGAAACUGGGGCUAACACCGGAUAGGAGCUCCUGCUGCAUGGUGGGGGUUGGAAAGUUUCGGCGGUUGGGGAUGGACUCGCGGCUUAUCAGCUUGUUGGUGGGGUAGUGGCUUACCAAGGCUUUGACGGGUAGCCGGCCUGAGAGGGUGACCGGCCACAUUGGGACUGAGAUACGGCCCAGACUCCUACGGGAGGCAGCAGUGGGGAAUAUUGCACAAUGGGCGGAAGCCUGAUGCAGCAACGCCGCGUGCGGGAUGACGGCCUUCGGGUUGUAAACCGCUUUCGCCUGUGACGAAGCGUGAGUGACGGUAAUGGGUAAAGAAGCACCGGCUAACUACGUG
This 468-nucleotide ribosomal RNA is filed under the name uncultured bacterium. RNAcentral describes it as "partial 16S ribosomal RNA". It matches the Rfam family "Bacterial small subunit ribosomal RNA", at positions 28 to 507 of the family's 1533-position model. The record is from RNAcentral.